GUAAUGCCUAGGAAUCUGCCUAGUGUGGGGGGAUAAACGUUCGGAAACGGACGCUAAUACCGCAUACGUCCUACGGGAGAAANCGGGGGGAUCUUCGGACCUCGCGCCAUUAGAUGAGCCUAGGUCGGAUUAGCUAGUUGGUGAGGUAAUGGCUCACCAAGGCGACGAUCCGUAACUGGUCUGAGAGGAUGAUCAGUCACACUGGAACUGAGACACGGUCCAGACUCCUACGGGAGGCAGCAGUGGGGAAUAUUGGACAAUGGGCGAAAGCCUGAUCCAGCCAUGCCGCGUGUGUGAAGAAGGUCUUCGGAUUGUAAAGCACUUUAAGUUGGGAGGAAGGGUAGUAACCUAAUACGUUGCUACUUUGACGUUACCGACAGAAUAAGCACCGGCUAACUUCGUG
Molecule: ribosomal RNA, 403 nt
Filed under: uncultured bacterium
Lineage: Bacteria
Description: bacterial SSU rRNA
Rfam family: Bacterial small subunit ribosomal RNA
Source: RNAcentral